AUUGAACGCUGGCGGCAUGCUUUACACAUGCAAGUCGAACGGUAGAGGGGGCAACCCCUUGAGAGUGGCGAACGGGUGAGUAAUGCAUCGGAACGUGCCCAGUCGUGGGGGAUAACGCAGCGAAAGCUGUGCUAAUACCGCAUACGAUCUCUGGAUGAAAGCGGGGGACCGAAAGGCCUCGCGCGAUUGGAGCGGCCGAUGUCAGAUUAGGUAGUUGGUGGGGUAAAGGCUCACCAAGCCAACGAUCUGUAGCUGGUCUGAGAGGACGACCAGCCACACUGGGACGGAGACACGGCCCAGACUCCGACGGGAGGCAGCAGUGGGGAAUUGUGGACAAUGGGCGCAAGCCUGAUCCAGCAAUGCCGCGUGCAGGAAGAAGGCCUUCGGGUUGUAAACUGCUUUUGUACGGAACGAAAAGGUCUGGGUUAAUACCCUGGGCACAUGACGGUACCGUAAGAAUAAGCACCGGCUAACUACGUGCCAGCAGCCGCCGUAA
Molecule: ribosomal RNA, 496 nt
Filed under: uncultured bacterium
Lineage: Bacteria
Description: partial 16S ribosomal RNA
Rfam family: Bacterial small subunit ribosomal RNA
Source: RNAcentral